Capsicum annuum is the source of this 1139-nucleotide long non-coding RNA. RefSeq lists it as uncharacterized. The transcript has 3 exons. NCBI's taxonomy places the organism in Eukaryota, Viridiplantae, Streptophyta, Magnoliopsida, Solanales, Solanaceae. The record is from RefSeq and is a predicted model, not a curated record.
CAUAUUUCUAAGACUAACUACCUAAUUUAUCCAUAGUUUAUUAGUUUUAAAUAAAUGUUAUCAACUUUAUUUGAUUUAAGUUAUUAAUUAAAAGAAAAAAUAAAAGAGGUCCUAAUCCUAAACAACCAACCCACCCCACGUUUCCUACUUCCCCAAAACUCCCUCAUGUUUAGCAACACACGAAACACACACAUGUACUAAUAUAAAUCUCAUUUCCACACACAAUUAGAAAAGAAUAAGAGAGAACACUGAUGACGACAAAGAUUGAAAAAAACAAAAGGAGUGGAAAGAAAGAAACAAAGGAAGACUUAGAAAACCAAAGAGAGAAAGAAGAGUUGGAGGGGAAUAUUAAAAUACGGACAGAGAAUGAGAAGAAAAGAAAGAAAUGGUGUGAAACGAAACAAGGAAAAGAAAAAUCAGAGAGAGAGAGCAAGCGGGUAGACGAAGAUUUGGAAUUUGAGGUUAGGUUCGUGAUUUCAAAUUCGUGGCUUCUUCUUCUUUUGUUAGGAAUUAUUUUCACAAGAGUAUACGCUCCCGAGCCUUGAGAUACCAGAGACGCGGCAACGCUCCUAGGAAGGAUUUUAUGAUCACAUAUGAUUUAGGAUGGGAAGGACCAAUGGUGAGGCCAGAAAUCACUGCUACCGUUUGCAGGUUUUUCUGCAAAGCACAUGUUUGAUGCCGAGAGUGGAAUUGCAUCUCUGGUUAGAAUAUAGAAGAACGGUUAGUUUGAAGAUAGUUAGAGUCAGCUUUGUAUUCAUAAUGGCCCAACAUUUGAAGAGUCAUCUUCUUAGCUUCUGGUCAAGUGAACAAACAUCGAAUAAUAUUCUAUGAAUUGUCCUUUGGAGGAGCACCAACGACUCAAUCCAAGUUUCAAGUUCAAGUCUCAAAUCCUAACUUCAAGAUUAAAUUUUGAGAUCAAGGUACCCAUCAGAAUAAGAUGAGGUGAUAACUAAAGAUCCAAAAUAAAGAUCUGAAGCAAGAGAAUCAAGACAAUUAGAAUAGAUAGAGCUUGUAUUUUUCAUUUCUAGUUUUACUUUUUCUUUUUCUUAUGUAAUAAAAGGAGUAACGGACCGAAAACUAGACGGAACCUCAACUCGACUCUCCAACUUAUCCAUUCAUUCCUAAACUUAUUUGAACUA